UUCAGUGGUGCACAUGGUGCAGGUUGGAACAGGAGGUGAAAAGGAGAGAGUGCUCAUAUGGAGCCUCCUGUAUUUAUACUGUUUGGUUUUUCCUCCCAGGCAGGAUAUCCAGUCACUGACCAUUCAGUGCCUUCUAGGCCAGAGGGAAGUGUGCCGUAGCCAUCGCAGGCUCCAGGGGCGUGGUGUGGGCGGGCUACAGGCCGGCCUUCCUUGACUGACAGCCCAGCUAUAUUCAGUGAUACCGUGUGCUCUGCACGGGCACAGCCGUGUUGGCUGCAGCCCUUCCGGCUCUCCAUGUGCUCUCUGGGGCCUGGCCCUGUUGGCUGCAGGCCAUGUGCUCUCAGCAGGCCUUAGGCCCCUUCCCCACACACACAUACUCACUCACAGUGAGUUGGAUCCAAGUUGUAUCAAUAAUUCAAUUAGAUUUGAAUCCAAUAUCUUACGCAUAAUGCAAGAGCUUUCAUAUCAUCUGACUUUGGGCACCAAACUAAAAAGCUAAGGUUGCUCCUAAACAUUUUGAGAGAAUUAAUAGUUGUAAUUCUCAGGUUAUAGGAAGAAAGAACACACAUACACACAGAAAAGAGUAGUGGAAGUUCAUCACCUACUCAGUUGAAGAAGCUUAAAACUCUACUGAAUUAAAGACACUAAAAAUGUAAAUUUGAAAUAAAGUAAGUUUUAAACAUGA
This is a long non-coding RNA of Pseudopipra pipra, 685 nucleotides long. RefSeq lists it as uncharacterized. The transcript is spliced from 2 exons. Lineage: Eukaryota; Metazoa; Chordata; Aves; Passeriformes; Pipridae. The record is from RefSeq and is a predicted model, not a curated record.